This 366-nucleotide long non-coding RNA is filed under the name Sarcophilus harrisii (Tasmanian devil). Its description in RNAcentral is "lncRNA (ENSSHAG00000022547.1)". The record is from RNAcentral. Lineage: Eukaryota; Metazoa; Chordata; Mammalia; Dasyuromorphia; Dasyuridae.
AUUACAAAAAUCUUAAAACAUCCCAGAGAAUCCAAUGAUUUCUGAGGAGUUUAACUUAUUACAACAAUCUUAUCAUAUCUCAGAGAAUCCAAUGAUUGCUGAGGGGAUUCAAUUAUUACAACAAUCUUAUUAUAUCUCAGAGAAUCCAAUGAUUCUUGAGGAGUUUAGGGUAUUACAGCAAUCUCAUUAUAUUCUCAGAAUCCAGAUUCCUGAAGUUUGUAAUUAUUAUAACAAUCUUAUCAUAUCUCAGAGAAUCCAAUGAUUUCUGAGGAGUUUAACUUAUUACAACAAUCUUAUCAUGUCUCAGAGAAUCCAAUGAUUCCUGAGGAGUUUAACGUAUUACAACAAUGUCAACAUGUGUCAGAG